UAUUAACGUCUCUUUGUGCAAGUCCUCGGGUUUCAGUCUGUCUCACCCCAAACAUUGGGCAAAUGUGGGGGAAUGCACUCCGUCUUGCCUGGGUUUGUCAGAUCUAAACCAAAGGCCACAAGAACAGCUAUUUUACGGGAAGGCGCCCCCCCUUGUCAAAGGUAAAUAAAUGCAAGCCACAGAAAGCACGCGGACUUGGAGAGAGGUGGACCCACCGCCUGCCACCUUCAGAGAAGCAGCUUCUUAGGAAGCUCUUUCCUCAAAGUAAAGCGGGAAACCCAGAUCAUUGUGCAACCACGGUGGACACGCAGAGCAGGCAUCUCCGGCGGCGACAAAAGCCGGGGUCGGGCAUCAACUACCCCUACCCCUUGCGUUCAUUCGAACCCUCGGGGCAAGCGCAGCAGAAUCCACAGGUGUGGCGACACGUUAGGGUCCCCCAAGGAACCACAGCAGCCUACAGCCACGCAGGUUCGUCCCCUUUUCUCCCGUACUCCCCGGGCUCCCGAUGACUAGUGCCACUCACCUGCAGCCGGGGCCACCUGGACAAGGAGGCAGCCGAGAAAGGAAACUCCGAGACCCCGAAAGGGGUGACUCACCAGUGAUUCAACAACGCCGCCGAGCACCGAGUUGCCCCUUCGGCGCAGGCGGGUCCAGGUGCUACGGAGUCCCAGGCUGCCGGGCGAUCCCUGGAUGACCAGCCUUGGGUGGCCUGCGAGGGAAAAAGGAGUUGUGUUCCAGAGAACUGAGUUGCAUGUCAAGAGAGCCUUACUUUUCUCUGUGCUUUCCAUGUAGACUCAGUCCCUAGCAGAGGUUGUAUCGGGGUCCCUGGACCAUCCCCAAGUAGACAAGGGCAGUUCCAAGGCUCUGGCCGAGCACCCGGUGGUUAGCGGAACAUUCUGUCAGUCUCUUGGUACAUUGUGCAGGACGGCACAGUAAAUGCACGUGUUUGCCAUGGACAAUUGCCCUGGAUUAGGUCUAAAGGCCACUUGGCACCCCCCCCCCCCAUCCUGCCCCGGUUCUCGUUCCCAACUUCAGAGAAGGACUGAGGAACUGCAGCUUGAAGCCUGGGAGACUCUGAGUGUCACUUCUGUCGCCAGGGGCUUCCAGGAAGGAUGGUUCACACGUUGAAGAAGACAGUGUGGGUUUGUGAGAAUUCCUCCAAAAUGCAGAAAAACAUAAAGCGAAACUGAAAAAUAAAUGACAUUCGGACUUCCA
This is a long non-coding RNA of Mesocricetus auratus (golden hamster), 1215 nucleotides long. RefSeq lists it as uncharacterized. The transcript is spliced from 2 exons. NCBI's taxonomy places the organism in Eukaryota, Metazoa, Chordata, Mammalia, Rodentia, Cricetidae. The record is from RefSeq and is a predicted model, not a curated record.